This 149-nucleotide small nuclear RNA is filed under the name Chelonoidis abingdonii (Abingdon island giant tortoise). RNAcentral describes it as "U4 spliceosomal RNA (ENSCABG00000014095.1)". It matches the Rfam family "U4 spliceosomal RNA". Rfam says of the family: U4 small nuclear RNA (U4 snRNA) is a component of the major U2-dependent spliceosome. Lineage: Eukaryota; Metazoa; Chordata; Testudines; Testudinidae. The record is from Rfam by way of RNAcentral.
GUAUUUGCGCAGUGGUAGUAUCAUAACCAAUGAAGUUAAUCUGAGGUGUGAUUAUUGCUAGUUGAAAAAACUCUUCCUGCUUCACAGACGGGCUGUGAGACCCCCCGCAAGGAGAGCAGGAUAGGAACUUGACUGGUUUUGCCUGAGCC